RNAcentral lists this ribosomal RNA (377 nucleotides) under uncultured eukaryote. Its description in RNAcentral is "partial 18S ribosomal RNA". It matches the Rfam family "Eukaryotic small subunit ribosomal RNA", at positions 592 to 976 of the family's 1831-position model. The record is from RNAcentral.
CAAUAGCGUAUAUUAAUGUUGUUGCAGUUAAAAAGCUCGUAGUUGGAUUUCUGAUGGGAGCCCUGGUCACUCUAACGAGUGUACUGAUGUGGCGUCUUGUCGUUUCAUGGGGAUGCUUGCUGGUAUUAAGUUAUCGGCUUGUGGAUCCAUGUCGUUUACUGUGAAAAAAUUAGAGUGUUCAAAGCAGGCCAUCGCUGUGAAUACAUUAGCAUGGAAUAAUAAGAUAGGACUGUGGUGCUAUUUUGUUGGUUUGCGUACUACGGUAAUGAUUAAUAGGGAUAGUUGGGGGUAUUCAUAUUCAAUUGUCAGAGGUGAAAUUCUUGGAUUUAUGGAAGAUGAACUACUGCGAAAGCAUUUACCAAGGAUGUUUUCAUUAA